Long non-coding RNA from Gasterosteus aculeatus aculeatus (three-spined stickleback), 913 nucleotides. The record is from Ensembl. NCBI's taxonomy places the organism in Eukaryota, Metazoa, Chordata, Actinopteri, Perciformes, Gasterosteidae.
GUGUAAGUGUGUGCCUGCCUCCUAUCGAUGUGUGUGACAGCUUGAAAUGUAGACUUGAACUUUAGAGUUUGUCCAAAGUUGAAUGCCUCUUAAGCAAUAUAGACGGGCUAAGUCUUCACAGGAAUCCCUUGGUUAAAACCUCCUGACAAGAGACUGCAGAGUGGAAGGGCUCUAAACACUGAUCGUAGCCCCACUGAGGUGUGCAAUUCCUGAGACAAAAGGAGACAAAGGACGUAAUGGAUUUAUGGGUCCACUGCCAGGACUGCAUGAUGCCAGAGGCAACGGGGGCUUCAGCCUCCACAUGGCUGUCUGGCAGCAGAUUCAGCCUGAAGAAAUACAGACGUGACAGCAGGGAACAUAUAAAGUUGAUGCAGGCAGCAUGACCACCCUCACUGACUGGACUGGGGCCUUCAGUGCGCUCACCCACAAAUCAUUUCCACAAUAAAAUAAAUAUUAUGAAUACAAUAUAUUUUGUUCAUCUUUUCCAAAGACGUGAAGCACAAUCAUUCUCUGUGAUUUUAUUCCCUUCAGAUAUCCAAUAAAAGAUUGAAUGUAGACAUGCUUUUCUCCUCCUCUUCAAAGACAAUAUAUAUUUGUUGUAAUGGAAAGCUGAUAUUUUCUUCCUUGUUUCGUGACUCUUACACCUGCUGUUAAAUUCUCAGAAUCCAUGUGUGAAGAGGUUUUUUUCUUUACAUUUGUUUUAUUAAGGUGAUUUCAUUUUGUGAAGUCACAAAGUAUAAUGAGACUAUCUGGAAUGUUUUAUUGCUUUCGAAGUUCCCUGUAAAGUAGAAUACAGAGAGGUCUAAGUUUGAAGAUCUGGUCCUACACACGUAUAUCCUGAUACUGUUUUUAUAGGAGCUGCUUGGUCUCACAUACGGCUCUGGGUUUUUCAUCAAAGCGUCUUACAUCUGGG